Ziziphus jujuba (common jujube) is the source of this 5879-nucleotide RNA transcript. RefSeq lists it as uncharacterized. NCBI's taxonomy places the organism in Eukaryota, Viridiplantae, Streptophyta, Magnoliopsida, Rosales, Rhamnaceae. The transcript has 9 exons. The record is from RefSeq and is a predicted model, not a curated record.
GUAGAGAGAGUGAAGGACGAGUGAAAAUUGAAAGAUUCUCAGUUGGCAAGCACCCCAAUGUAGUGGGCAAUGUCUCUUCCAAGUUCCUCUCCACUCCUUCACAUUGCAUCCUCAACUCCUCCUCCAACCUCCAACGGUCACUUCCCUCCUCCACCACGCCCCGACUCUCUCGUAUCCUUCUUCUUCUUCUUCGGAACGACGACGUUUAAUCCCCACUGUGAAUCCCUUCACUCCCUUACUUUCUCAAAGCAUCCCAUUUGCUGUUGCUCUCCCUCCUCCAUGUCCUCCCUGGCAUCCCCUUCAACCUCUCCGGUUCUCCCAUUCUCUUCUCCAUAUUCUGUUCUCAAAAAGUAAUUUCUGAAUUACAGAGUUUCAAUUAUGUAUGUGGUAAUUAGUUAGCGUUUUUAUUUUGUGGUAAAAUGGUCUGUAUCAGUUCCAGGACAGCUUGUUGUAUUCAAGAGCGUACUGUGUCAGUGAAUCCAUUAUUGUAUGGGAUGUGGAUGUUGGAAAUGAUUGCUGCUGCUUAUUUGCUAGUAAAGGCGCUGCUUUGUCACUUACUGAUGAUGGUAUUCGAGCAGAUAGGUCUGCAGUCGGGGUGUAUUGGAUGAAUUGUUCUCGUAUAGUGGCCCCAUUGGUGCACUUUACUCAAACAAAGCUGUGUCACUUGUCCUCUGGGGCGCCUACUGUGCAAUUUAUCUGUUUUCACCAUGGCCCCUGCGGGUGCACUUUACUCAGACAAGGCUGUGUCACUUUUUCUUUGGGCGCCUACUGCUGAAGUACGGGCUUGCAUUUAUAAAGAUGUAUCAGCAGAUAAUCCCCAAGAAAUUGUCUGGGUAGAGGAGGAUAAUGGUGUUUGGAAAACUAAAGGACCAAAGGGUGAGGAAGGCUGCUAUUAUGUUUAUGAAGUAUCUGUCUACCAUUCUAGCAUCCAGAAAAUCGAAAAAUGCUACGCAGAGGAUCCAUAUGCUAGAGAGUAUACUGGUUGUAUACUAGAGAGUAUACUGUAGGGAAUUUGAUGCAGUUGAUUAAAGAUUUCUACAGCCUUGGACUAGAAAGAGUCGAGCAUACAUUUUCAUAUGUCAUCGCUAUUAAACCUGCUUAAUUACAUUCUAUUUUAUUUUUAUUUUUAUUUCUGUUCUUUCUUUUCUUUCUCGUGUUAUUUAUGUUCUCCUAUUGCUGCAUUAAGACUGACGGAAAGGAUUGAUAUCAGUAUCCAAGGAGAUACAAAAUGCCUCUUUUAUACAAAAUUGUCUUGGAGUCUACUUCAGCCUAUAUUCUGACAAAUGAAGACAAGUUUCAAUUAUUAUUUUGGCUUUCUUGAUUUGAUUAUUAGUUUUGGUGCUAUGUUGAUUUCUACAUGUGUUUUUCUUCUCUUACAUGCUACAUUGAUCUACAGUGCCAGUGACCACAUUAUAAAUUUCGUGGUGGUUAUCUGACCUUCACUACGCUGAUAAUGAGACACUUAAAAAGUUUCCUCCACAUUCAGCUCAGCAACAAGCUCUAAUUACAGCUGUCGAAAAUGAUGAUGGUACAACUGGGGGGUAUCCCAAAGGCAGCAAUACAAGUAACCCAACUGGUUCCUGCCAUAUAAUUUAGAAAGAUGGUCCAGGCACUUAAUCGUAUUGGUCUCACGUUGUUGGAUGUUGUCUACGACCAUUUGCAUGGAAGCGGGGGUCCUUUGAUGAAAAUUCAGUUCUUGACAAGGUCGUGAUUUCUUUAUUAUUAAUUUUGUGUGUCUACCAUUGCUUAACUCAUAAUUUGUUAUUCCUGCAAAGUUUGCCUGCUCUUCUCUUGUCCUUGGCAGAUUGUUCCAGGUUACUAUUUGAGAAGAAACACUGCUGGUUUCAUAGAGAAUAGCAGAUGUGUCAAUAACACUGAGUGAGCAUUUAUGGUUUAGCGUUUAAUUAUUGAUGAUCUUUUGCACUGGACAGUUGACUAUAAGGUGAUUAUUUAGACUGUAAGAUGGUUAAAAACAGUUUUGCAUACUAGCGCACAAGCUUUUUUUGUUCCUAUUCAAGAUAGGGUUUAUGAUUUUGAUGUAUCAGUAUAGCUAUAAUUCUUGAUUUUAAACCAUUUUCAAUCAGUUUUAUGGCCUUUUGUUUAGGUUGAUGGGUUCCGUUUUGAUCUUCUGGGUCACAUAAUGAAAAGAACAAUGGUUAGGAAGUCUGACCAACUUGGCAUGGUGUGACCAUAAACACAAAAUGGCUAAGCAACUAACAGUAAUAAUAAUAUGUCUAUCGAUGAUAGCAAAAGAUGUGCUGUGCAGCCUAAAAACAGAGAGGGAUGGAGUUGAUGGUUCUAGUGUCUACAGAGAUAUGGUGAAGGUGGGAUUUUGGUGUAGUUGCCUAGAAUGGAUGCGGAGUUAAUGCAUCACGGUUCCAUCUUCCUCGGACUGGAAUUCGGAGUUUCAACGAUCGAAUCUGGGUUGCAAUACUUGGUGGAUCUUCAUUUGGCCAUCCACUUCAGCAAGGAUUUGCGACUGCUCUAUUUUUGCAGAUAUAUAAUGAUUUAACAUUUUUAAGGUUUGUUUUAGAUUUUGGUUGAUUCAGUCUCUGCAGGGAAAUUUUCCUACAGAACCUGUUAAAUGUUGUUUUCCUAUGUUCAAAUCUUAGUAAAACAAGACUUCCAAUUCUAUUAAUGACCUAAUGACUAGAGUAUACACAAAUUAACUUUUUGAUGAUGAAGUUGUAAUUAAGUUUACUGCUAGAACUGGUGCUAUUGGAGGUAAUGUUCUCUUUGAUGUUAGGUAAUUGCUAAUGCAAUCAUGGGCUAAUGAAUAGUGCAUCCAUAAAUUAGAAUUGAUGUUGCAAUGAGGUUCUUUACCGGAUUUGAGGGUGAUCAGCAGAAAAUUUUGCCUUCUUAUGCACAUUUUUUCUUUAAUAUAUGGUUAUUUUACUUCUAUUAGAAUGUUUAUUGAUUAUCUUUCUGCAGCCUAAUGGUCACAACCAGGACACAGCUGCUGAAAAACUUGUGCUUGCUGUGUCAAAGGAUCACAUCCAGGCUAAAUGUCUUGUUCAAUUGAUGUAUUUAUGGUCCAUACAUGCAUACUAAUGGUGAAAUUAGAAGAUCUCUUAAUAUUCAUGGCAUAAAGCUGCACAGCAGACUGAAUCAAUGAACAUCUUUUGGUGCUUAGAACUUUAGGUCUUUAAUCAUCUGGUUGCAUGAUGUAAUUUCGAGGUAAACGAGAUCUUUCACUUUGCAAUAAGUUAAUAGAGGCCAACUUUUUGUGCUACUUGUGAGUGAUGAGUUCCCAACUUAGAGAACUGAUAUGAAGAAGGAUCAUGCAGACCAAGUUAAUUAGUUCUUGUUCUAUUUCUUUGUCAAUAAGUAGAAAUUUGCAGUGCCUAAAAUUCUAGUCAUUAAGUCUUUUGCUUUCUAGGUACAUCUAUUCCCAUGUGCACUACAUCUAUUCUUAAUUUCUUAUCCAAGAUUUUGCAUAUUAUUAUGAAUGAAUUUAUGUGUUUCUUUUUUUCUUUUUUUCUUUUUUUUUACUUUUUUUUUUUUUUUUUAAAUUCCCUAUUUGUGCAUGCUAGCAUGCUUGUACUAUUGACCGCUUCCACAAAUGUUUCAUAUCAACAUAAACAAUUUUCAUGUUCAUGCUCCUCUAUUAGAACUAUAUCUGUCUCCUAAUCUAACCAUUCUUCGAUUUAUAUAAGAACCAGGAUCCUAUAUCUUCUCUCACACGAGACAAAUGUUCCCUAAUGAUGUCUUUUAUUGUUAUAUAUUUGCUACUUAUCAAGCAAGUUACUCUUUAUUCGGGUAGGGCUGGCUGCCAAUUUGAGGGAGUUUGUGCUAACUGUGCUAACUGAUUAUGAAGGGAAAGAGGUAUACAAUAAUACCUGACAAUAAAGUCAGAUUCAGUUGAUAUAAAACUGAAAAUAGAUUGCCUUUAACAUUUGCAUUAUGAUUUACUCAGGUAAAAGGGUUGGAAGUAUCAACUCAUGAUGGAGUACCAGUUGCAUAUGCUUCAUGCCACUGUAAGGAUCGAAUCCAAAAUUGCUUGAUACUCUGAAUUUUGAUUCUGUAAAUGAGUAUGGUGCAUGAGGAACUUGCUUAUGCAGGAUCAUCUUUUAUGUUCUUUGGUAGAUCUCUGGAUAUCUUGUGUGCAAGCUCAUAAAUCUUUUUCAAUUCAUGUCAAUCUUUAAUCCUGAAUUCUUUGGAAAAAUUAAGGAUUCAUCUUGCAUUAUGCUUUAUGGAUUCCCUUUUUUUAUAGUAGAUCGGAAAAGCAAAAUCUUUGAUUGUUAAUCAAAGGACAAUCUCGUUUACAAAACGCUGACAAUCUUCUUUUUAUGGUGAACCCAAACAAGGUUGAAGAAAGAAAAGAUUUUAAAAGACAUGAGUUAUCUAACAACAACAGUCAAUAUGAAUGAAUAUAAGAGAGAGGGAAUCUCAAUGGCUUUGGGAUGAAGGGUAUUGGUACUUUUCAAGGCAGUUGGAGGUGUAUGCUCCAGAUUUCCUCAAAAGCUUCUAUCUUUCGAUGCUAAUUUCUGUUAUCACUCUUAAUAGAUUAUCAGAACCAUUGAUACUUGUCAGUCUUGACAUUUUAAAGCUGACUCUAAUGAUGAUAUAACAUUGCAAAACCAUGUUAUCAAUAUGGUAAAAACUUUCAGGUUCAUUACGUUUCUGCUCAUGAUAAUGAAACCUUUUUUGAUAUUUGUGACCCUGAAGGUAAGAUCAAUAUAUUGUAUAUGUAAGUUUAAAAAUGUUUCAUCUUGUUUCAAACUUAUUGUCUAACUCAGUCCUUUACUCGUAGACCCCAAUUGGAAUUUCUGUGGAUGAAAGAUGCAGGAUAAAUCAUUUGGCAACAAGUAUAAUAGCAUUGUCAGAGGUUUAACUACAUCUGUGUCAGUAUAUGAUGGAAUCACACUUUUCGUUUUCCAUUUCUUUUUGCUUUGUCUUUCUUUAUGUUUUAUAUUCUUUUGGUGUUUUGAUUAAAUCACUUUUUUCAGUUUUUUUAAGUAAAAUUGUCUGUAUUGAGUGUUUGCUUUGAGGAUGGAGCGACUUGCAAUUUAGUUCUAGUAUGAACUUUCAGUUUACACAAUUGUUGUUAUCAAAUCUAGUUGUCAAACGUAGAGUGUAUGUUUAGUUGAGUAUGAAUUUUAGUUUACACAACUGUAGCUAUCAAAUCUAGUUGUCAAACGUAGAGUGUAUAUUAUAAACAUAUUUUGCGUCCUAAGAUGAAUAAACACACAUAAAGACAUAUUCAUAUACUUAGUUGUAGGUAUUCCGAAAAUAUUAUAUUUGUAGUCCAUUUAUGCCAUAUAAAUCUAAAACAUAAAUAAAAGUAUCAUGCAUUUGUAACAUAAAUUAUGAAUUUCUUUGUGUAAAAAUCUUUCUAAAUGAUCAAAUCUUCCUAGGUAACAAGCCAGUUAGAAAAAACAUUUCCUUGUACAUUUUAGGUCAUCUGAUCUUAAUACUGUUAAAAUAUUUGUUUUCCUGAAUUAUUCUUUUGCACAUGUUUGUAGAGUAUUGAUGGCUUUUCUGUCUAAAAAUUGGUGCAUUUGAUAUUAACCGAUCAUGUGGUCAAGAGUCCUAUGUUUGAGACUUUGACAGGAUGCUUCAGUGUACCUGCAAUGACAAAAUUUGUGUUUGUCGAGCCUUGGAGAAUUUGAGUGGGUUGCCCUUUAUCAUGACGCGCUGUAAAUAUGAUAUUGAUGGAUGACUUGACUUUCAUGAUCCCCUGUUGCAUAGUAAGUUCCUGGCAAGAGAUACUAUGAUUGACCCGUUAAUGUGAAAUGUAAAGCUAUAAUCAUUGAUUUUUUUUGGUGCAAAUGAAAAAAUAUUCAUAAAUGUGACUGCAUGAGCAUAAAAACAAUGUUAAAUUUAUACAAACGUAUAGUUGUUACUUAUAACCCAUCCAAGAAUCUUAUCCGCAUUAA